Myotis lucifugus (little brown bat) is the source of this 75-nucleotide non-coding RNA. Lineage: Eukaryota; Metazoa; Chordata; Mammalia; Chiroptera; Vespertilionidae. The record is from Rfam.
GGUGGUUCUCGGGCGAUGCACCCCAGAAUCAGGCUCCCUCCUCUCUGGUUCCCGGUGCAUCACCUGAGAACCUCA